RNAcentral lists this ribosomal RNA (423 nucleotides) under uncultured bacterium. Its description in RNAcentral is "bacterial SSU rRNA". It matches the Rfam family "Bacterial small subunit ribosomal RNA", at positions 355 to 776 of the family's 1533-position model. The record is from RNAcentral.
UGAGGAAUAUUGGUCAAUGGGAGAGAUCCUGAACCAGCCAAGCCGCGUGAGGGAAGACGGCCCUAUGGGUUGUAAACCUCUUUUGUCGGAGAACAAAACCCGGGACGAGUCCCGGACUGCGUGUAUCCGAAGAAAAAGCAUCGGCUAACUCCGUGCCAGCAGCCGCGGUAAUACGGAGGAUGCGAGCGUUAUCCGGAUUUAUUGGGUUUAAAGGGUGCGUAGGCGGUCCGUUAAGUCAGCGGUAAAAUUGCGGGGCUCAACCCCGUCGAGCCGUUGAAACUGGCAGACUUGAGUUGGCGAGAAGUACGCGGAAUGCGCGGUGUAGCGGUGAAAUGCAUAGAUAUCGCGCAGAACUCCGAUUGCGAAGGCAGCGUACCGGCGCCACACUGACGCUGAGGCACGAAAGCGUGGGGAUCGAACAGG